GACUGACUGUACGUUCCAUCACUAAGGCCUGGCCUGGCGGACCGGGAGCGGGUCCGAAGAGGGUCCCCUCCGGGCACGUGUUCCCGGGUCUCCAGGCAUGCUAGGGCCAAGACCUUGAGGCUCACUCAACAGGUGCCCCACAUUUCUCGGUGGUGGUGGUGAGGGGGUGCAGCCCCAUGCCCCAACCUCAACACCCCAACAGACAUGCUACGUCAGUGGUCCGUGCAGUCAGGGCAGGCCCCCGGGGAGCCGGCCGGCGAGGAGCUGUGGGAGCAGGAGAUGGAGCGGCUGUGUUCCUCCAGGGUGCCCGUGCGGACGCUGCCCUACGCCAUGGCGGACAGGCGCAUCCUCCGGCAGCUGCGCGAGCCCGAGGGGGUGAAGACCUCAUGCUGGCAGCGGUGGCAGCGCAGGCAGCAGACUGCAGGACGGCGCCUGGGGGAGGCAGCACAGCGGCUGGCCCAGGGCUUUGGGCUCUGGGAGGGGGCACUCUACGAGAUCGGGGGCCUCUUUGGCACUGGGAUCCAGUCCUACUUCACCUUCCUUCGCUUCCUGUUGCUGCUCAACCUACUGACCCUGCUUCUGACCUCCAGCUUCGUCCUGCUGCCCCUGGUCUGGCUCCGACCCCCUGACCCAGGCCCUGCCCUUAACUUCACCCUCCAGUGCCCUGGUGGCACCCAGCCCCAGACGGGUGUUCCCAGUUUCCAAAGUCAACUUUGGAGUGUUCUAACUGGCAGGGCCUUCAACAACACCUACCUCUUUUAUGGCGGGUACCGGGUGGGCCCCGAGAGCAGCUCUACAUACAGCAUCCGCCUGGCCUACCUCCUGAGCCCCCUGGCCUGCCUGCUCCUCUGCUUCUGUGGCAUUCUGUGGCGGAUGGUGAAGGGGCUGCCUCAGAAGCUGUUCCUGGGCCAGGACUACAGGUCACCUCUCAGUGCCAAGGUCUUCUCCUCCUGGGACUUCUGUAUCCGGGGGCAGGAAGCAGCCACCAUCAAAAAACAUGAGAUCAGCAACGAGUUCAAGGUAGAGCUGGAGGAGGGGCAUCGCUUCCUGCUGGUGCAACAGCAGACCCGGUCCCAGAGAGCCUGCCACCUGCUCACCUGCCUGCGGGUCAACAUCCUCAUUGGCCUCCUGGUGGUCGGGGGCAUCAGCGCCAUCUUCUGGGCCACCAAGUUCUCGCAGGACAACAAGGAGAAGCCCCUGUUUGUGCUACUCCAGUACCUGCCCUCUGGGGUCAUCUCUCUGGUCAACUUUCUGGGGCCUCUGAUGUUUGUUUUCCUGGUCCAGCUGGAGAACUACCCUCCCAACACUGAGGUCAACCUCACCCUUGUGUGGUGCGUGGUGCUCAAGCUGGCCAGCCUGGGAAUGUUCUCCAUCUCCCUGGGCCAGACCGUGCUGUGCAUCGGCAGAAACAAGACCAGCUGUGAGUCCUACGGCUACAACGCCUGCGACUACCAGGUAUGCUGGGAGAACUCAGUGGGGGAGGAGCUGUACAAGCUGAGCAUCUUCAAUUUCCUGCUCACCGUGGCCUUCGCCUACCUCGUCAGCCUGCCUAGGAGGCUGCUGGUGGAACGAUUGUCAGGCCGGUUCUGGACCUGGUUGGACCGGGAGGAGUUCUUGGUGCCCAAGAACGUGCUGGACAUUGUCGCGGGGCAGACGGUCACCUGGAUGGGCCUCUUCUACUGCCCCCUGCUGCCCCUGCUCAACAGUGUCUUCAUCUUCUUCACCUUCUACAUCAAAAAGUACACCCUCCUGAGGAACUCCAAGGCGUCCCCUCGCCGAUUCCGCGCUUCCAGCUCCACCUUCUUCUUCCAGCUGGUGCUCAUCCUGGGCCUGCUUCUGGCUACCGUGCCUCUGGGCUACGUGGUCAGCAGCAUCCACUCCUCCUGGGACUGUGGCCUCUUCGCCAACUACUCUGCCCCCUGGCAGGUGGUCCCGGAGCUGGUGGCCCUGCGGCUGCCGCCCUCUGGCCAGCGUGCCGUCUACUACCUGGGCUCCCACGCCUUCCGCUUUCCCCUCCUCAUCCUGCUCAGCCUUGUCCUGACCGUGUGCAUCUCGCAGUCCCAGGCCAACGCAAGGGCCAUCCAGGGCCUCCGGAAGCAGCUAAAAUGGCAAGUCCAGGAGAAGUGGCACCUGGUGGAGGACCUGUCGCGGCUGCUGCCGGAGCCGGGCCUCGGCGACUCCCUGGGGCCCGAGUCCCCUCACAGUCGAUCUUCGCGCCCUCGAUCCUUCUGCCCCGGAUUCCCGUGCCCGGGAUCCCCGGGCCCCAGGGCCCCCAGGCCGGGACCCCUCCUCGCGGAUGCCGCCUGUAGAUUCCGCUUCCCCAGCAGCACUGAUCAGUAGUGCCGACCCCCGCCUCCGCCCAGAGCCUCUCCAGGGUCAGACCUGCAGCCCCCGUGCCCCACACUCCUGCCCCCUGGUGACCACCAACCCCUCUCGGUGGGCUCCUCAAAACGGGGCUCACACACCCAAGGGCAGAGGAAGAAAAUAUGGGGACUUGUGUUUGUAUUUUGAUCUCAUUACUUUUUUGUCGAACGUUUUAUAAUGUGCAUAAUACAGUAGUAGUACAGUAACCCAUGAAUACAAUUUGUAAAGAUACAUCCAUUGGAAGUGCUCCGAAAUUGUUAACUGUGGGACGUGCCAUCACAAAAUUUGGAGACCUCCAACCUGUGGGAAGGGACGACCUGGCCGCUGUUAGAGCAAACCUGCACUGGGGGUUUGCGGUGUUCAACUGCACGUGCCCUACAGAACCUUCCGUCACGCCUUCUAAACAUGUGAGGAGAUGGAGACCCACAGAAGUACCGCCUGCAAGGGGCAGAGCCAGAAUCUGACCCCUGGGCACUGGGAUCCAGAGACACACCGCAGCAGUGUGGGGCUUAGCGGUGAUCCCCACCCUGACCCCAGGGACUUACAGCGCUUAUGUGAACCUGCGUAACAGAAGUUCUGACGUUGUCCUCUCCCUAGCAGGAUCCCUCACCACCCAGAAUUCUAACCCAGCAACCCCACAUCAAAACAGGGGGCGUCCUCAGGCUGCCACCCCCCACAAUGCCUUCUGUAGAGUCUGUUCUGCCCUCUCUGUGUCCCCCAGUUGAGCCGACCUUGAGGAAUGCUGGAGGUAAAGAUGUCCCACCAGGGCCUGGAAGUGGCGGAGCGGGGGUGCCUCCCAAGGCUGGGUCCGAGAUUCCUGCGCCUUGUUGGAGCCUCCGGCCCCAGGUUGCGGUGACUCAAUCUAGGGACCUCAGCCGUGGAGAACACCUGAGAAGCUGUCAGAAGUGGCCCCAUGCCAGCGACUCCAAUGCGAUUGAUCCAGGUGCUGCCAGCAGCCAGGCCUCGGGACUUUCUGAAACUCCCAGGUGACUUUCCCACAGCCGGGAUUGAGAACUGGUCUAAAUAACCAUCAGGAGUGAAGGCAGGGGAAACCCCAGGACGUGUUUAAAAGCCACCCUAUUUCCACCAGGGGCCCAGGAUUCCAGGCCAUGACACAGAGCCUGGGCAGCUCUGAGCUGGUGCCCUCAGGCCAGCAGCUUCGUAUGGUCAUUAAAGUGCUUCUUGUCGCUGUCAUCUCACUCACCCAGCAUCACAAGACCCAUCCGCCUGUCAUCACGUGCCAGGCCCUGUUCUGGGGCUGGCGAUGAGCUCUGUCUAGGGAGGGUGACUGGCUUGGCCCACAGGAAAGUGACUGUUAAUUAGCAACUUAAGACCAAAGUGUGCUCCCUGAACCAGCCCCAUCAGCAUCAGCUGGGAACUUGUUAGAAAUGCAAAUUCUCAGGCCUCACCUGGCCUCCCAAAUCAGAAACUCUAAGGGUGGGGCCCCCUGGGUGAGCCCUUGGGAUGGUGCUGAUGGGGACUUCAGUGAGAGAACCACUGCACAGAACCAUCAAGGUCCUUUUCUUAGCACCUUCAUGUCCCUCCAGUGAACAUGUACUGAGAACUGGCCAAGUGCAAGGCCAGGCUCCCUAGGCGAUGUGAGGGACAGGACAAGCUUGGAGGCCUUGGGCAAACCAGCAAACUUGGGGCCUCAGUGUGCUCAGCCACUGAGCAGUGGGGAUGACGCCACCGUCCCCUGAGUGGUUGUGAGGAUUUAAUCAGCAAUUACUUACAAAGUGCCCCAAUGGGUGCCUUGCCCUUCCUAGGAGUGUGGUCAAGGUCCUAUUCCAAUUUUGUCAUUGGCCUCAAGAGACAAGUGGUCAAGAUGAGAAGUGGGCCUGAGAUCCCCUAUGAUCACAACCGUCCAGCAAGACAACCUGGGUUGGGGGAGCCUCAGAGGAUGAGCCAUCCUCCCAGCAGGAGGUUUCACAGAGCAAGCCACCAGAAGCUUCUCUGUGGAGCAGGAGGUAGGUGAGUAGCCCAGCAGGUGGGAGGGAGAAAGGCCCCUCACUCAUGGUGGGUGCCUUGGCUGAGGGGCGUUUGCUGCUGGUGAGGGAGUAUCUGCUGGUGGGCAGUUGAUCAAUUCUAAAGCCUCCAUUCCUGCAGGGCCCUGGGGGGCGGGGAGAAGAGAGGAGACUGGCAGGGGGCACCUCCAGGGGACAUGGGGGAACAACAGGGGACAUGAGGGAGCAAAAGUGCUUGACUUCCUGUUGGGGUAUGUGUGUGUGUGUGUGUGUGUGUGUGUGUGUGUGUUGGGGGGUGCUGGGGAAGGGGGCAGGAGGGCGUGUCCCUGGGCAGGUGUACCCGAAUCUCUCUACCCCAGAUCUGGAGCAGAAUCCCCUCUGGGAGCCCCACAGCUCCGCCAGGUGGGUGUGACCCCAGAGAGGGUUGGGGGCAUUCUGGUGCAGCGCCUGGUCCAGGAGGGUGGCGUUGAGCGAAUGGGGGAUUCCAGGCUCCCUCCGAAGUCCAGCCAGGGGAGGCCGCCUCACUCUCAGGGGCAGCAGGAGAGAGCCCGGGCCUGCUUUCCGUGCAUCGCGGGACGGUGCAGAGCGAGGGAGGAGCCGCCCCUGGUCUGGACUCUGCUCAGCUUUGCCUCUCUCCACUGUUCUGCUCCCCUCCCUCUCCUGUCCCCUCCCCUGCCCCCAUUUGUAGCCCUGUGACUCAUAAAGUCAAGGUGAUGGGUCACCCCCUCCUCUCCACUGCUCUCCCCCGUCCGGUCCCAAUGGGUACCUUCCUUGGUCGCAGGGUGGAAGAGAAGGCUUCCUCCUCGGUUCCACUGAAGGGCGGGUCUCACUUGCAUGCGGCACAGGCUGAACUAUCAUUUCCUCAUUUGCUUUAAAAACAAGCACAUUGUGGUGUUUCCGCUAAAAAAAAACAACAAAAAAACCCGACAGCUGAGUGGCUGUGCAGACCUCUGGGUCUCCGGGAAGAACCUGGGCAGGGCUCAUCCCCUCGCUCUCGGGCCCCUGACUUUGCUCAGACACUUGCCAAGCAAGUCCUGCUAACUCAACUCCUAAGAGACAGACUGGUAAAAACCAUUUCUCCAUUCAUUUUCAUUCAACAUGGCUGAACCUAUUUGGUGCAGGCUCUGCUCUAGGUCCCAGGAUGGAUACACAAAGUGCAGAGAGAAAACAAAGACCCCUGUUCCCGUGUAGCUUACAUUCCAGUGCGGCUGGGGGGACAGGUGAUAAUAAAAUGGAGCAUGCUCUGUAGUGUGCUAGGAUGUGAUCUGCCCUAGAGAAAAGGACGCUGGGAGGAGGGAAAGGAACAUGGGUGGGGAUGGGGCGCGAGGGCAGCAUUUACUGAGAAGUUGUCACUCAGAAGAGGACACCCAAGCGAAGACAUGUACAGCAGGACGUGCCUGGACAAGGGCCUGCAUGGCCGGAGCACAGGAAGCAGGAAAGGGGAGAGUCGGGGGAGGUAAGGAGGGUGGGAGAGGGUUGGGUAGGGAGGGCUUAUGGACAUAGCUGUGGGACGGUCUGCACAGAAGACAGGAUCUGAUAUAACCAUCAUGGGGUCCUUUCGGCUGCUGUGUUGAGAAGCGUCACAUGGGGGUCAAGGGUCAUUAGGCUGUUCCCCAGAAUCAAAGGAGAGACGUGAUAAGGCAGAGAUUGGUCGAGAUAUAGUCUGAGGGUCAGGCCAGCUGCACUUGCUGACGGAUGGAGUGGGACGGGAAAGACAGAGUAACGGAAGAUGACCCCAGGGUUCCGGGCUGAUCUCCUGGAAGGAUUAGCUGAAGUGCAGCCUUCCAAUGGCGUCUCACACAGCUGAACCGGCUUCAGUGGGAGCAAGAAGUUGGGCGAAAGAUACUGAAUGUUAAGGAAUUGAAGAGCCAAGAUAUUGGAAACAUUAUCUGUGUAUUUUGAAAUCCCCAAGAAUCAUGGCAGCUGUAGUAAUGAGAGUACAGUCAUGCACCACUUAAUGACAGGGACACGUUCUGAGAAAUGCUUCAUUAAGGCGAUUUCGUCGUGCAAACAUCACAGAGGCACUUUCACACCUGGAUGGUGUCGCCUACUGCACACCUAGGCUACGUGGCACAGCCUAUUGCUCCUGGGCUACAGGCCUGUACAGCACGUUACUGUACAA
RNA transcript from Hipposideros armiger (great roundleaf bat), 6450 nucleotides. It is a transcript of the gene named transmembrane channel like 8, with no coding region annotated. Lineage: Eukaryota; Metazoa; Chordata; Mammalia; Chiroptera; Hipposideridae. The transcript is spliced from 18 exons. The record is from RefSeq and is a predicted model, not a curated record.